CGGUGUGGCGUAAAAUAUGAAAGACCCGUAAAAUAUGCAAGUGCGCAUGUGCAAAGGGAUCACAACAUCCGGCGUAAAAAGUGCAAGUUGCAUAUGUAAAUAUAUUAAUAAAUCUACGAAAAGAGAUGAUAAUUAACAUUCUUAUCAUUAUGUAAUGUCAGCCACGUAAGCCAUGCUGUUGAUUGCAUAGGUGUCACACGGAUUUAACGGUGUAAUAACUGAGAACAGACUUCACAAGGUCUAAGAAGGUCUAAUACAUGCCAACAGCAAAUCAAUUCCGUUGAUGUUCUCUCUACAUAUCAAUGGACAAAUAAAGCUCUCGAUAUUAAGUGAACAAAUAACACUGGAUUACUUAAUUCAAUUUUAUAACUGCACUACCAUGACCAUGAAUAAUUGUGCUAAGGUACAGCUGGCUUGGUUUGGACACAUCACCAGGCACAACUCUUUGCAAGGCUGUUUUCCAGGGUACGCUAGAGGAAGGUCGACGAUGAGGCCAUUUGUAGAAAAGAUGGAUGGAUAAUGUAAAAAAAUGGACAUGCCUUUCCAUGGAUGAAUUACUCAAAGCUGCACACAACAGACCCGACUGGAGGAGCAUUUCUGUAUCGUGGUCCCUCAUUUUCCCAAACAAGCUGAACCAGUUUGAGAAUUACUGGGAUAAAGAAAUAAUUUAAUCUAACAGUCAUGUAUUUGAAUUUUUGAACACGCCAAUCUAUAUUAUGUAUAUGUGCAGAAUCUUUACCUCUCAGACUAUGACAUUACCAAUUUAAAGUACUGGAAAUUUAGUUAAGUUUAAGUAAAAAUUACAUUUGUUUCAUAAAGCAUGUAUUAUUUAUUUCAUUAUUUUUAACUCACCUGAGCACAAGGUGCAUAUGGUGUGCUUUUAGGAUCAGUAUUUGUCCCUUGUGCGUCAUCAACACUUUUAUCCAGGUUUUCGGAAGGAAAAAACUGGUUAUUAGAUUGGCGAAUAUCGGCGGGCUGGCGGGCGAAACAAGCUUGUCCAGGCCAUAGCUAUGUCGUUCAUUGUGAGAUUUUAAAAUCAUUUGGCAUAGAUGUUCACCAUCAUGUUACUGUGCGUCGGGCGCAAGAAUUACGUCGAUAUUUCCAAGGUCAAGGUCACAUUUGGAGUUCAAAGGUCAAAAAUGGCCAUAAAUGAGCUUGUCCAGGCCAUAACUAUGUCAUUCAUUGCGAGAUUUAAAAUUCAUUUGGCACUUUUGUUCAACAUUAUUGGACAUUGAACGGUGUGUCAUGCGAAAGAAAUACGUCAAUAUCUCCAAGGUCAAGGUCACACUUAGAGUUCAAAGGUAAAAGAUGGCCAUAAAUGUUUUGGACGAUGUGUCAUGCUAAAGAAUUACGUCAAUAUCUCCAUGGUCAAGGUCACACUUUGAGUUCAAAGAUGGCCAUAAAUGAUCUUAUUCGGGCCAUUACUGUCAUUCUUUGUCAGAUUUUAAAAUGAAAAUGCACAUUUAUUUUGUUCACAGUCAUUGGACGGCAUGUCAUGCAAAAGAAUUCAAGAGUUCAAAGGUCAAAAUGGCCACAUGAUAAUGGCGUAAUAAUUCUUAAGAAUCGCAUAAAUUAGCUUCUCUUGUUUUGUGAAGACAACAUGCAAAAUAUUCUGUGUCAAUGCAUGUGGGGGUAUAAUUAUGUCACGUGUAUGACAAAGCCCUUGUUAUCCCCCGCCAUCGGCGGAGGGAUAUUGUUUUGGCGUUGUCCUUCUGUCCGUCCGUCCGUCUUUCCGUCCGUCCAGCGCCAUAUCUUGGAAGUGCUUUGGCGUAUUUCAUUGAAACUUGGUAUGAGUAUAUAUAUAUGGAUAAGAUAAUGAUGCACGCCAAAUGGCAUUGUACACCAUCUGUAAAUAACAGAGUUAUGUCCCUUUGUAUCUUGAAAAAAUGCUUAAUUGAGUGUCAAAUAUAACACUUGUGUCCAGAAGCAUAUUGGCGGGGGAUAUCAAUUCAACAAAUUUGUUUGUUAUAAAUAUAUUUUUGUAAAAACCUUGUUGUGACAAUUUUGUCCCUUGUUCCUUGUUAACACUAUAGGUAACAUUUAUUGCUUGAUUGCCAUGAAACAUGUUAAGAAAAUGUGUCCCAAUGAUAUCUUUGUUGGGUUUGAAACUGUGUCACACCAGGUCAAAACCUAGGUCACUAGAUAAAAAUAAACAAAAAAAUGGU
Dreissena polymorpha is the source of this 2165-nucleotide long non-coding RNA. RefSeq lists it as uncharacterized. NCBI's taxonomy places the organism in Eukaryota, Metazoa, Mollusca, Bivalvia, Myida, Dreissenidae. The transcript is spliced from 2 exons. The record is from RefSeq and is a predicted model, not a curated record.